CCAGACUCCUACGGGAGGCAGCAGUGGGGAAUAUUGCACAAUGGGCGAAAGCCUGAUGCAGCGACGCCGCGUGAGUGAAGAAGUAUCUCGGUAUGUAAAGCUCUAUCAGCAGGGAAGAAAAUGACGGUACCUGACUAAGAAGCCCCGGCUAACUACGUGC
This 160-nucleotide ribosomal RNA is filed under the name uncultured bacterium. Its description in RNAcentral is "partial 16S ribosomal RNA". It matches the Rfam family "Bacterial small subunit ribosomal RNA", at positions 331 to 508 of the family's 1533-position model. The record is from RNAcentral.